AGUGAACGCUGGCGGUAGGCCUAACACAUGCAAGUCGAACGGCAGCACAGUAAGAGCUUGCUCUUACGGGUGGCGAGUGGCGGACGGGUGAGGAAUACAUCGGAAUCUACUUUUUCGUGGGGGAUAACGUAGGGAAACUUACGCUAAUACCGCAUACGACCUACGGGUGAAAGCAGGGGAUCUUCGGACCUUGCGCGAUUGAAUGAGCCGAUGUCGGAUUAGCUAGUUGGCGGGGUAAAGGCCCACCAAGGCGACGAUCCGUAGCUGGUCUGAGAGGAUGAUGAGCCACACUGGAACUGAGACACGGUCCAGACUCCUACGGGAGGCAGCAGUGGGGAAUAGUGGACAAUGGGCGCAAGCCUGAUCCAGCCAUACCGCGUGGGUGAAGAAGGCCUUCGGGUUGUAAAGCCCUUUUGUUGGGAAAGAAAAGCAGCAGGUUAAUACCCCGCUGUUCUGACGGUACCCAAAGAAUAAGCACCGGCUAACUUCGUG
Molecule: ribosomal RNA, 492 nt
Filed under: uncultured bacterium
Lineage: Bacteria
Description: partial 16S ribosomal RNA
Rfam family: Bacterial small subunit ribosomal RNA
Source: RNAcentral